This is a long non-coding RNA of Labrus mixtus (cuckoo wrasse), 1874 nucleotides long. RefSeq lists it as uncharacterized. NCBI's taxonomy places the organism in Eukaryota, Metazoa, Chordata, Actinopteri, Labriformes, Labridae. The transcript has 3 exons. The record is from RefSeq and is a predicted model, not a curated record.
CCUUGGUUUGGAAUUUGGAUGUCAUUUGCACGGUGUGCUCACCUGUGUGAGGCUUCAGACAGGUAUAAUCAGGGUUGGCCACUGAACACACUGACAUAACAAUAUUCAACUGUAACCAUAGCGCCCCCUACUGCAAGGAAGAGAGGAGGAGCCUGAUCCAAUCAAAACCAGAGUCCAACUCAGCAUCCAACUGUGAGAGGAAACUUCAGGAACAUGGAGCCAACAGCAGGAAUGAGACGGACACGGAGUAUAGCUCUUCCUCCUUCUCUGUCUGACUUCAUUGAUACACUCACUGCUCAUGCAACAUCGUACAUUAAAGCGUUUAACAACAAAGAAAACAGGAUGAGACAGAUUGUAGAAGAGUUAAAUGUAAUCAUUGCUGAAGUUAAAAGGAUGCAGAAAGUCACAAAUACAGCUAGAAUGACAGGAGUUGUUUUUACAGGAGCCAUGUUGCUUGCAGUUCCAUUCACCGGGGGGACGAGCUUAUUAGCAGCAGGAGCAGUAGCAGCAGGAGGUGCUGUUGUUGCUACAAAUGUGUCAAAAAUCAGGAAAGAGAAUGGAAGUGCAGAAAAAGCUGAAACGUUGGGAAAAGAAUUCAUGGACAUUGUUGAGCCACUGAAGGAACAACUGCAGAAAAUGCAAACUUUGUUCCAAGAGUUGGAGGAAAGAUCAGCCGCAGUUCAGACUGAGACAAGCAAGUUUAAGAGGAUUCUUGAAGAAAUGUCUGAACUGAGAAAACUGAAUGCAACCACUUUGUCUGUAGUUGCAGUUCUGGGCGAGGUGAUUGGUAAUCUGCUGAAGCUCAUUGUGAUGAUCUUCAGAGUUACUGCGACACCUAAAGAAGAUAAAAAACUGACAGACUCCAUCAUCCAAUCAGCUGAACAGAGUCAGAGGGUCACUGAUGCUUUUCAAAGGAUGAGUCAGGAACUGGAAAAACAGAUCAAUAAAGAGAAGAUGAAGCAAGAUGAGAAGAGUUCAAAUUCAGAUUAAAAGUUAAAUCAAACAAAUGAUGUCACAGCGUCUCCGUUGUGUAAACUGACAAUAAGCAGCUCCUCUGAAAACAAACUUUUCGCACAUGCUCAGUACGCCUACAGACAAGAGCCAUGAGCAGGUGGACUACAACAACAAUGGCCGACUCCUGAUUUCUGUUGGUGGAAACGUUGACUGUCAUGACUGCCAGUCGGUGUUUCCUCUAAACGUUCUCUGUAGUUCAGGGUCACUCAGAGUAACGACCCCACGUCAUCGUCAGUCCACACAAACCUUUGUGUGUUAGUCGUGUUUUUUUACACCUCAGCGCUCUGCGUCUGAUGAAUGAACUCUAACUUUCUCUUCAUGUUUGUUCUCUUCGCCUGGUUCUUUGUCCGAUAAACACCGCUCACAGUGACUGUGAUGUCAUACAGCGGUCAGCAUCACAUCUCUGACUGUUAACACGUCACUGUAGGGCGAUAUGUAUAUAUGUAUAGAUACAGUAAAUGAUCAAAGACAGAAACAGGGUAAGAAGAAGCUCGGUGGAUGGAAACUCUUAACACACAACACCGUAGAUCUACAUUUGGACCGUCAGCGUUCUCCAUCAGAGGGCGUAAACACCUGGACCCACUUUAAGAUCUGUAAUCUGUCAUUUAAGCUGGUUUAUAGCGUUUAUAUUGUCUUAUUGUUGAACAUGUAUUUUAAAGUGUGAUGGGCUUCUAUGUGACUCUGAUUGUUUCCCUAAAGACUCAACGAGGACACGAGGCGGAGAUUAGCUCCAGACUCUUUAUGCAUCAGUGUCAUGCUCUGGAUUGAAAAUAUGUUAAACUGUAAUGUUAAAUUCAAAUGUAACAAUUCAAAUUUAUAACCUGAAAAUAAAACCUUGGAUUUUUACACAUCAAACUGAA